RNAcentral lists this ribosomal RNA (678 nucleotides) under Psychrobacter aestuarii. RNAcentral describes it as "bacterial SSU rRNA". It matches the Rfam family "Bacterial small subunit ribosomal RNA", at positions 79 to 754 of the family's 1533-position model. Lineage: Bacteria; Pseudomonadati; Pseudomonadota; Gammaproteobacteria; Moraxellales; Moraxellaceae. The record is from RNAcentral.
GCUACCAGAUGACGAGCGGCGGACGGGUGAGUAAUGCUUAGGAAUCUACCUAGUAGUGGGGGAUAGCUCGGGGAAACUCGAAUUAAUACCGCAUACGUCCUACGGGAGAAAGCAGGGGAUCUUUGGACCUUGCGCUAUUAGAUGAGCCUAAGUCGGAUUAGCUAGUUGGUGGGGUAAAGGCCUACCAAGGCGACGAUCUGUAGCUGGUCUGAGAGGAUGAUCAGCCACACUGGGACUGAGACACGGCCCAGACUCCUACGGGAGGCAGCAGUGGGGAAUAUUGGACAAUGGGGGGAACCCUGAUCCAGCCAUGCCGCGUGUGUGAAGAAGGCCUUUUGGUUGUAAAGCACUUUAAGCAGUGAAGAAGAAGUUAUGGUUAAUACCCAUAAUGGAUGACAUUAGCUGCAGAAUAAGCACCGGCUAACUCUGUGCCAGCAGCCGCGGUAAUACAGAGGGUGCGAGCGUUAAUCGGAAUUACUGGGCGUAAAGCGAGCGUAGGUGGCUUAAUAAGUCAGAUGUGAAAUCCCCGGGCUUAACCUGGGAACUGCAUCUGAAACUGUUCGGCUAGAGUAGGUGAGAGGGAAGUAGAAUUCCAGGUGUAGCGGUGAAAUGCGUAGAGAUCUGGAGGAAUACCGAUGGCGAAGGCAGCUUCCUGGCAUCAUACUGACACUGAGGUUC